This 87-nucleotide transfer RNA is filed under the name bacterium. Its description in RNAcentral is "tRNA-Ser". It matches the Rfam family "tRNA". Rfam says of the family: Transfer RNA (tRNA) molecules are approximately 80 nucleotides in length. Their secondary structure includes four short double-helical elements and three loops (D, anti-codon, and T loops). The record is from RNAcentral. RNAcentral also lists the same sequence under 1 other name.
GGAAGGAUCGCAUAGUGGUCGAGUGCGCUUGCUUGGAAAGCAAGUAGACCUUAACGGGUCUCCGGGGUUCGAAUCCCCGUCCUUCCG